This 591-nucleotide long non-coding RNA is filed under the name Mus pahari (shrew mouse). Its description in RNAcentral is "lncRNA (MGP_PahariEiJ_G0005340.1)". Lineage: Eukaryota; Metazoa; Chordata; Mammalia; Rodentia; Muridae. The record is from RNAcentral.
CGGGCUCCCAGUGGCUUUGGAUGGUAAGAAGGGAGGAAGCUGGGCCUUUACAUUGCUGAGUCACCUGGGCAGUGCCAACAGCCACCUCAGAGGAUGACGAUGGCAGUCCUCAGGGUCACUGCAGCACCUCACUUGAGAGACUGAGAUCAGUCAUUCCAAAAGCAUUUCCUGAGUGCCUGCUGUAUACCAAACACGUGGCAGUCAGGAGAAUCUGUCUAAGGUAAUGAGAUCAGAAGGGUGACGCGAGGAGCCAAGACUGAAGGAAGCCAGGAGAGAGGCACUACUGAGCUGGGUUGUCUGAGGAGGUGACAAAUGACUUAGAAACUCCUGGAGAAGUGGAACGUAACAGCUGGGGUGCCGCUCAGUGGCCAUGUGACCUAACAAGCUCCGUCCUAGACGUUUAUCCAAAAGAAAUGGAAAUAUCUGCUGAGAUACACAUAAGCAUCCCUACUGUCGGAGGAGGAGCUACAAGCUGUGUAAAUGCUGAGAUGACAGGAACAAGCUACCACACCUGGCUUCAAAUUGGACAUCAUUAAUGAAUAAUCCUACCAGUGGCCACUGAAGAGAAGGAAUUCUGCCUAAGGUUAGAAG